AUCCCAUUCCUGAAGGAAGAUGUUCAAGGAGUAUGUCCGAAAAUCAGAAGGCACCUGCUUCCAGGAAGAAAGCCUAUGCUUCAACCAGCCUAAAUCUACUUCAGGCAAGGGAACUCAGAAGAGAUGCAACCUGAGAGAUUGACUCACGUGUUUUGAACCAGGACCUCCAGCACACUUUGGAGAGUGGCCAUGAGAGCUGAGGAGGCUAUACUGUAGCCAUUAAGCAGUAGAUAAAAGUGAACCACUGAGGAUGUCAACAUACAAGGAUGGAAAGAGUCUGGGUCACUGAUGACACUGUUUAUGUUGGGACAACCACCUACCUCUCAAUUUCUUGUAGGUUAACAGUCUACUUGGAUGGCUCAGUUAAGUGCUCAAACGUAACAGAGCCUCUGAGUCUGAGCUUACCACGCGACCACCCAGUAAGAUACUACAUUUCCCAUCUCCCUCAAAGGAUCCAGUCAAGGACCAUGCAGUGACUCUUCCAGAUGAGACCUUAAGAAAGAACUCCUCAACAGAGCCCAGUCAACUUACAAAACAAGAGGU
Vicugna pacos (alpaca) is the source of this 543-nucleotide non-coding RNA. NCBI's taxonomy places the organism in Eukaryota, Metazoa, Chordata, Mammalia, Artiodactyla, Camelidae. The record is from RefSeq and is a predicted model, not a curated record.